RNAcentral lists this ribosomal RNA (493 nucleotides) under uncultured Bacteroidota bacterium. Its description in RNAcentral is "bacterial SSU rRNA". It matches the Rfam family "Bacterial small subunit ribosomal RNA", at positions 887 to 1382 of the family's 1533-position model. The record is from RNAcentral. Lineage: Bacteria; Pseudomonadati; Bacteroidota.
GCCCGCUCAGAAACUCAAAGGAAUUGACGGGGGCCCGCACAAGCGGAGGAGCAUGUGGUUUAAUUCGAUGAUACGCGAGGAACCUUACCUGGGCUUAAAUGCUUAAUGACGUACUGGGAAACUGGUAUUUCUUCGGACAUUUUGCAAGGUGCUGCAUGGUUGUCGUCAGCUCGUGCCGUGAGGUGUCGGGUUAAGUCCCAUAACGAGCGCAACCCCUAUUGUUAGUUGCCAUCAGGUCAUGCUGGGGACUCUAACAAAACUGCCCGCGUAAGCGUGGAGGAAGGUGGGGAUGACGUCAAAUCAGCACGGCCCUUACGUCCAGGGCUACACACGUGCUACAAUGGCCGGUACAGAGGGCAGCCACUUGGUGACAAGGAGCAAAUCUCAAAAGCCGGUCUCAGUUCGGAUCGGAGUCUGCAACUCGACUCCGUGAAGUUGGAUUCGCUAGUAAUCGUAGAUCAGCAAUGCUACGGUGAAUACGUUCCCGGGCCUU